GGAGACAUCAAGGUCAUUCAUGAAGCACUCUAUAUUCAGUGGAAGGUCAGAAGCAUUUGCACUCAUAAGCUUCUUUAGUUUUUCACAUUCCUGAUACAAUCUGAGCAGCGCUCGGGGAUUCUCUUUUACAUUCAGUUUGUAUUUUGUCCUAAAUUCUUCAGAGAAGUAGUCUACCAAAGCCUCAUCAAAAUUCCUGCCGCCUAAGAAAGGGUCAAAGGUAGUAGCUAAGACCUUCAGUUUUCCCUUGUUGAAAGCACAGAUAGAAACUUGAUAUGCAGAAUGCCCCAUAUCUACAAAGA
Molecule: long non-coding RNA, 299 nt
Filed under: Gallus gallus (chicken)
Lineage: Eukaryota; Metazoa; Chordata; Aves; Galliformes; Phasianidae
Source: RNAcentral